RNAcentral lists this ribosomal RNA (598 nucleotides) under uncultured bacterium. RNAcentral's name for it is "bacterial SSU rRNA". The stretch from base 1 to 535 matches the Rfam family "Bacterial small subunit ribosomal RNA", at positions 338 to 873 of the family's 1533-position model. The record is from RNAcentral.
CCUACGGGAGGCAGCAGUAGGGAAUAUUGGACAAUGGACGCAAGUCUGAUCCAGCCAUCCCGCGUGAAGGAUUAAGGCCCUAUGGGUUGUAAACUUCUUUUCUUUGGGAAUAAAAAGCGGUAUUCAUAUCGCCUUGAAGGUACCAGAGGAAUAAGCACCGGCUAACUCCGUGCCAGCAGCCGCGGUAAUACGGAGGGUGCAAGCGUUAUCCGGAUUCACUGGGUUUAAAGGGUGCGUAGGUGGCUUUGUAAGUCAGCGGUGAAAGCCUGGAGCUCAACUCCAGAAUUGCCAUUGAUACUGCAGAGCUUGAAUCAAGUUGAGGUGGAUGGAAUAUUACAUGUAGCGGUGAAAUGCUUAGAUAUGUAAUAGAACACCGAUUGCGAAGGCAGUUCACUAAGCUUGUAUUGACACUGAGGCACGAAAGCGUGGGGAUCAAACAGGAUUAGAUACCCUGGUAGUCCACGCCCUAAACGAUGCAAACUCGACAUUAGCGAUAUACAGUUAGUGUCCAAGCGAAAGCGUUAAGUUUGCCACNGAGACGACGCGAGUAGAAGUAAGAAGUAGAGNGNGAGAGNGCGAGACGACGACGAGGAGGAGG